UUGAGGAACAUUAUCACAACCUUUUGUCUGCAAGAGGGUGCAAUGGUAUCACUGUCAAACAGGAUGGCAACUCUGGAAAAGGUUUAUAUGCAGACAUGGACUUCAAAGAGGGGGAACUGGUUCUGAAGGACCCCAUGCUUGUAGGAGCUCAACAUCCCCUCAACAAGAUUGAUUGUUUGGUGUGUAGCUUCUGCUUUCGUUUUGUUGGUUCCAUAGAACUUCAA
This is a long non-coding RNA of Glycine soja, 224 nucleotides long. RefSeq lists it as uncharacterized. The transcript has 3 exons. The record is from RefSeq and is a predicted model, not a curated record. NCBI's taxonomy places the organism in Eukaryota, Viridiplantae, Streptophyta, Magnoliopsida, Fabales, Fabaceae.